GUGAGGAAUAUUGGACAAUGGGCGCAAGCCUGAUCCAGCCAUGCCGCGUGCAGGAAGACGCAUCUAUGGUGUGUAAACUGCUUUUGUACGGGAAGAAACACUCCCUCGUGAGGGAGCUUGACGGUACCGUAAGAAUAAGGAUCGGCUAACUCCGUGCCAGCAGCCGCGGUAAUACGGAGGAUCCAAGCGUUAUCCGGAAUCAUUGGGUUUAAAGGGUCCGUAGGCGGUUUAAUAAGUCAGUGGUGAAAGCCCAUCGCUCAACGAUGGAACGGCCAUUGAUACUGUUAGACUUGAAUUACAAGGAAGUAACUAGAAUAUGUAGUGUAGCGGUGAAAUGCUUAGAUAUUACAUGGAAUACCAAUUGCGAAGGCAGGUUACUACUUGUGGAUUGACGCUGAUGGACGAAAGCGUGGGGAGCGAACAGGAUUAGAUACACCGGUAGUCC
This 445-nucleotide ribosomal RNA is filed under the name uncultured bacterium. RNAcentral's name for it is "partial 16S ribosomal RNA". It matches the Rfam family "Bacterial small subunit ribosomal RNA", at positions 354 to 796 of the family's 1533-position model. The record is from RNAcentral.